This 310-nucleotide ribosomal RNA is filed under the name Brevibacillus brevis. Its description in RNAcentral is "partial 23S ribosomal RNA". It matches the Rfam family "Bacterial large subunit ribosomal RNA", at positions 1 to 308 of the family's 2925-position model. Lineage: Bacteria; Bacillati; Bacillota; Bacilli; Caryophanales; Paenibacillaceae. The record is from RNAcentral.
GUGGUUAAGUUACUAAGGGCACACGGUGGAUGCCUUGGCGCUAGGAGCCGAAGAAGGACGCAGCGAACUGCGAUAAGCCUCGGGGAGCGGUAAGCACGCUUUGAUCCGGGGAUCUCCGAAUGGGGAAACCCACCAUCUGUAAUGGGAUGGUAUCCGUAUCUGAAUACAUAGGGUACGAGAAGGCAGACCCGGUGAACUGAAACAUCUAAGUAGCCGGAGGAAGAGAAAACAAUAGUGAUUCCGUCAGUAGUGGCGAGCGAACGCGGAAGAGCCUAAACCGUCGGGUUUACCCGGCGGGGUUGUGGGGCGU